This 388-nucleotide long non-coding RNA is filed under the name Gossypium barbadense (sea-island cotton). Its description in RNAcentral is "long non-coding RNA (GBAR_LNC003839)". The record is from RNAcentral. Lineage: Eukaryota; Viridiplantae; Streptophyta; Magnoliopsida; Malvales; Malvaceae.
CGGCUUUAGCUACAAUAACAUAGUAUUCUCAGUAGAAAACCCACAUAUCAAGUGAUAUAGAGAGAGAAUUAUAGAUAUUAAGAGGUGAUGGCAUGAUGGAUUGAUCAGAAUUCAAUUAGCAUAAAAGCCAGUUGAGGUGAGGUGAGGUGACAGUCACCUGUCUUCAAUUGAGCUUUGAGGGGUGACAGCUCUGAUGCACCUUGGGUGCACCUCGUACCCACACUCCAGACAUUGGUAAGCCCAACCAGAUCCCUGCUCUUCACAAUCGCAGCAUAUAAAGGGCCCCCCUCCACUGCCUUCUGAUACCAACGUUAGCAGAUGCCGAUGUCCUGCAUGGUAUUCACUUCUUGGUAAGCUCUUGGCUGCCUCUUCCAGUUCUUUCUCUAGC